GAGGGGAGUACCGGGUCGUGACAUCAAGUGUUUAAAGGUGGUGAGCAAAUUACACUGGUAAAAGUACAGAAAUUAUGCUUGAAGACUGAGAUUAUGAGUACAUCGACUCCUAGAACUGCUCAGGACAGUUUGUUGAUAGUUGAUUAAGACGAGAAUUAAUCUCGGAGUUGCAUCAUAGGAAGUAAGGAUUCGUAACUUUACACCUUCUUGGUUAGUUGGGGGCUUACGUG
Non-coding RNA from Theobroma cacao (cacao), 230 nucleotides. NCBI's taxonomy places the organism in Eukaryota, Viridiplantae, Streptophyta, Magnoliopsida, Malvales, Malvaceae. The record is from RefSeq and is a predicted model, not a curated record.